CAGGAAGUUGAGCAGACUACACAUGUGCCAGCUCCUGAAGAAGCCUGACUACAAACUGACUCGUGUCGCUUAUGAAAGCAUCAGCUGUGAGUUUUAUUAUGUGUGAUAGCAAAAUGGCUGGUUCUUGGUUGUUAAGCAGAAUAUGGUGUUAAAGCAUUUUUUUUUUUUUACUUGCUAGUUUAAGUAUUUAGCUUAUCUACGGUGACCAUACUUCCUCUUUUACCCGGACAUGUCCUCUUUUUGGGGGGCAGUUUUAGGUUUGGGUUGCAUGGACUUACUGAGUUAGAAGCACGUAAAAAACACUCGAUCUGACCCGAAAAACUCUCAAAAUUAGCUAUGCUCCGUGACUCCGCCCCCGUGUACUCGUAUCCUCUUUUUUGGGGAUUCAGAAUAUGGUUACCCUAGUUUAUCCUGGUGCUUAGCCUAGCAUGUAGCCCACAUCUUAGCUGAUUUGCUUACUGCAGUAUGAAGUUUGGUUUGCCAGUACCUUACUUUAGCUUAGCUUUUAGCAUUAGCACUUGAUGUAGCAGAAGGCUCACACCUAGCUCAAUUCAGCAUGUAGCUUAGCGCUUAGCAAUUAGCUUAGCUGCAAUGUUCCAUUUGUAUUACAAGUAAAUUUAGUGUUUUAUAUUAAAAGUUAAAAGUCUUAUAUGGUCUUUUUUUAAUCACUUUUACUUCUUUUAUGCUUUUGUGUUUUUAUUUCAUUUAUUUUAUUUCAUUUUAAAUGUUUUUGCCUGUUUUUAUUUCCUCUUGAUGUUUUGUGUUUGUUCUUUUAAUCUUACUGUGCAGCACUUUGGUAAACUUGAAUGUUUAUUUUUUUUAUGUGCUAUAUAAAUGAAGCGGAUUGGAUAGAAGUUGUUCACAGCACCUUGUUGAUCUGUGCUUUAUUAUUUCUCUUUGUUAUAGUUUUCACUCUGAAUUCAACCAGUGAUGAAUGAACAAGAUUAACUGAGACCUGACUGGAUCAUCAUUUGAAGUGGAGUUUGGCCGACUGUCAAACUGCGUAAUCACACACGCAGAGAGGACACAAAUAUCACAAGUGUAGAUAAAAGAGGAUCACAAUCCAGCUGCCCCUCAGGGAGCUGUGUUACACUUUAACUUCUUCUCAAUGUUGAGUAAUCGUUCACGAAUACAGCCAUAAUUUUAAAUCAGCUUCUCUCUGCAUUCUCAGAACAUCUAAUUCUAAUUAUUAUCACCUCAAAAAUGACUUUUAUUCAAAUGAAACACACUUACUCACUUUGGGGGAUAAGCCAAUUCCACCUGAUACGAGUGAGGGGAAAGACUGCUUCUCUUCUUUGACAGGAGAGAGGAAGAGAGAAAGAGAAAGGGCAUAUUAGGUGAGGAGGAAUUGGCAGCAGAGUACAGUACUUCUUCAACCUCUUUUUUAUUUUUUCAGAGGACGGGGGUGAGGAUGCUGCUGACCAGUGGAGUUCACUAAAUCGUUCCACAGCCGAGGGAGCACACACAGGAGAGGAGCGAGGGUUUAAACUCACUCACAGAGCUAUCAAUUUCUGUAAGAUCACAGCGAAGCAGAAGUUUCAUUACACUGGUGAUUAAUCCUAUUAACAGGAGACAUGUCUCUUUAAAAACUCCAUAUGUAGGAAUGAAAGCACCAUUAAAAACAAAUGGGAAAAGCAAAAGCAAAUAUUCUACAUAAUCCAGAGCAGCUGUUAUCAAUACCACCUCAGACAUCCUUUAGUCCCUCCAUCCCCCUGAUGUCUUAUAUCUACCAAAAUGGUAAUAAAUAAGUUGGCUCUGAUCUCGGGGUGUCUGAAGAAGAAGAACGCGUCUCAAAUUGAAACUAAAAGACUCCGUGCAGCUCCACAGUCAGCCUGGUCGUGUACAGCUGUUACAGGUCAACUCGCCCUCGCUCCGUAAUUCUCCCACGGGUCUUUAAGAGAGAGAAGCGAGCCGACCUGCAUCAUAUUGUACAUUUGCUUUCGAUGGCCUUGUGAGCACAAUGAGACACUUUUUUUCCUCUUAAACAGGUCGGUGAAAAUGAGAAAUGGAAAAGGAGAAGAAUGAGAAAAGAUGACGGACUGAAGUCGAAAUACUUCAGUCAGAAACGACUUUGGGGAGUGGUCAUGGUAAGAGUAGAACAACUGUUAUAUUUUAUUUUUAAUCUUAUUUAAUUAAAAUGUGUUUGCACAAAAUAUUAUGUAUUAACACUUUUUUUUUCAUGGUAAAUGUUUGACUACUGGAAGUUACACGCAUAAUGCAUCAUGAGAGGUUUUUGUCCUCAAAGGCCACCGUAUGCCACUCCAACCUAGAAUCUGACCACUAGAUAUUGCAGAAUAUUUAUGCUGCUUUCAGUUCCCUCGGAAGUUGUAUAUCGUAGCUGGAAAUGAUGUUACACCCGAGUUGAUGGCGUUCCAGUAAACAGUUGGAAAACCAAGAUGGACGCCUACUGUAAGCUGUUUACAACUAUCAGUUGUUAGCAGUUGCCAGUUGUUGUCAGCUGUCAUUAGCGGUUGUCAUCUUUGAUUAUGCUGUUAUCGUUAAGUUGGGAUUGGUGAGAAUUGUCCGACUUUCCGAGUUGGAAAUCUGACUUCAGGGGGGUAUUCCAGAUGAAUUUCUAACUUGGGGUUAUUGAGCUUUUUAUUGUCACCUGAUGCAAAAUUAAACACAAGGUUGUGCAAAAUAUGAUCUGCAAACACAAGGGUUAACAUUUUUGUCCUUUUUUUUUCAAUCACAUAAUCCAAAAUUUGCACACAAGCUUAUAGCUGCAUGCAAAAACAUCAAAAUGCAUCUCAUUUCUCAUUAGUCUUGUUUCAUGCUGCAUGCUUUGUUUGAGAUGCUAAUCCCCGUAAACUCCGACACUUUUAUAAAAAAAAAAAAAACAGAUUAAGAAGAUUUCAGAGAGGUGUACACUCUGUGCCAUCUUCUCUCCACUGUUAAUCAGUAAUUUGUCCAAUUUCACAGAUCUGUGGUCAGAUCUUCUCCAGGAAUCAGGCUCUUCCGCUCUGAAUCAUUUACUGUAGCGCUGGUGCAUGGAAGGGAGAGAGCUGCAGGCGGGGACGCUCGGAGAAAUCCAAUACUCCUGAAGCUCUUACUCUCUGCAGAGCCCGAUCCAAAUUGGGUGCCACGGUAACAAGGUGAGCCCAGACACAGAUAAUAAAACAAACUGGUUUUCACAGCGGUUAAAGCGGUUUGCCCUUGGUUCAUUUUGCAAGCAUGAGUAAGUGCUGCCUACUGGACACCAACAUCAAACCUCUCUCUUUAUAAACACUGAAUUUUAAGCUUUAUUUGCUGCAUUUCUCAUCAAAAUAAGAAGAAAUUCACGGCUGUAACAAGCUCGUUCACAGGUAGAAACCUCCUCCUCCUCCUCCUCCUCCUCUUCCUCAUUGUGCUCUGGUAAUAGUUGUCAGCUUUGUAAUCACACCGGCGUUUAAAUCUCACCAGGCAGCUCCACCUGCCGAGUAUUGACUUUAAAAAUAGCACACACACACACACACACUCUUGCUCUCCUGGGACCGUUACCGCUCAGGAAAUGGACUGUGUCUGUGGCUGUUAGUAAAGCACACAAGCAGCCGAUAGGAUGAGUAAGAGGAGCGAGUUCAAGCCGUGUGCACUUCACAUGUUAAGCCGAAAAAGAACAUAGAGCAUAUGGCCCUUGACUGUUUAAGCGGUGAACGGACAACUAAUGAACUGGCGCCGCCUGAAAGACUAUUCGGGGAUUUCUGGUGUUAAAAUUACGUUUCCUGCUUUGAAAAGGGAGAGAAGGCGAAUUAGAAAGCUGCAAAGUAUCUGUUUCAUAUUAUUUUUAACAUUAAAACGCCUGUUUUUCCUGCGCUGAAGGGAUUCAAGAACAAGUGCAAGAACAGAGUGUUUUACCUUUUAAGCAACACCACAGAAACCUCUUUAUUCCGACCCAAGCAGAGAGAACAACUCUGCAAUUAGCCACGGGUAAGGAGAAAUGGAUCUGCAAUCAGGUUAAGUGGCACCCUGUCAGACUCCCAACCAUUACUGGUCAUGAUAUUAUUACUUUAGAUUUUCCAGAGUGCUUAAGAAAAGCUGGCUGCAGAGUUAAAAGCUGCUUGGCCAGGUCUGUAUGAAAAGGUGAGAGUUGUUUUGCACAGGCUGUAAUCAGGCUCAUGUAAAAAAACAGCAACCUGAUCGGUGGCCCAGGUCUCCUGUGAGGAGUUGUUGACGUGGAUGAAAUAGACUGUGUGUUUUUUUUAAAGGAAAUCCAGAAGCAAAUGAAACCAUCAACCACAAGAUUGAAGAUUUUUAGGUUGGUGCCACGUCGGUGUCAGCUGAGCAGCUAAAGAAAGUAUGAUAGAGGGAACCGGUCUUAUUUUAGAGGCAAUCCAAAGCAAAGAUUCCUGUGUAUGGGAUCCAGAUGGGCCCCCAUUCAGACUGGAUCUCGUUAGAUAUGUUUACAUUGGCACAGAUAAUCGGAACAAAAGCGUCAUGUAAACAUGUCGAUUGGAAAGAAAUCAUGUUCUGUUCUGGAGGGGUGAUUUAUGCCGAUCUUUAUUCUGAAACACUUAUUCCGAUCAUGACCAUGAAAAUCUGAAUCUUCUGUUUACAUAAUCAAAUAAUCCGAUCACGACAUGCGAAUACAAUACACCAAGUUUUAUUCAAACACUACUGCGUUUGUUGGUUUGUUGACCGCACAGACUUUAACACAACUCUUCUUCUUCGAAAACCUUUAAAUUAGACAACUCUGCUCAUGUCCAAAUGUUUCUAAUCUGAAUAAAACUUGGUGUAUUGAAUACGCACGUCGUGAUCGGAUUAUUUGAUUAUAUAAACACAUGGAAACAUGGCAAGUGUGCCAGUUUAAGCGUAGAGUAGUAAAACUAGGACCUGAUCCAGGUCUAAGUCAGCUAUAACUGUAAGUUUAAGGAGCAGGUUUGGAAACAUCCUUUUUAAAAAGCUGUAAAGUUUAUUGGACUUGGUUCCUCCCUCCUCAGGAAAGGGGAGGCUUGACCUCUUAUACUUCUCUUGGGGACUUUAGGUACCGUAAGGCUGGCCUACAAAUUUGGAGUGUUUUGUUUGAGAAGUACUUAAGGAUUUUUUCCCCCUGGAUUUUACAUGACGCCAGUUUUGGGAUUACAUGGAUUACAUAUGCACUACACGCUGUAACCUUUGCUUAUCGAUGCUAACCACAGUGAGUUACUCUAGGAGACUAACCAGACAUUACAUUUGUAUUCUCAGAAAACAUGAUGUAAAGUUGUUGUCAUAUUUUGAAGUGCCACAGAGCAGACUUAAGUUAAGAGUGUCCGAGUGUUUGUUGGCAUUAAAAAAGGCACACCCAGCUCUAAAAAAUCAAUAAUUUCAGCAGGUGUUAUCACAUUCACCUGCUGUAAAAAAAAGUCUGCAAUCAUUCCAGUUUAUGUUGUGUGUCACUGCCGUAUUAAAGCUUGAAGGGAUGAGUGAGGGCUGCAGCGAGGUUCAGGCUGCAUGCUGAGUUACUCGGGCGUUUAAUGUUUAAUGCAUCUGUUUCCACUCCUGCAGUUUAUCGCCUGGAGCUGUAACAUCCAGGACCUUCUAAACUGCGGCGAGCCAUCGAGGAUUUAUGUGAAGAUCAAAAUUUGGCUUAUGGGACACGCUGUACUUCGACGUAUUCCUUUUUCCAAUCCUAAAAUAUCAUAAAAGCAGCGAUUGUGUGUACAGCAUUUCUUUAAAGACGGGUUUCUUUUAAUCUGUCUGUCCUUGUAUUUUCCUCUUUUAUGUUUUAAUCUCUUUUCUUUCUCUCCCGAUGUAAAUCAAUUUGUCUUGCCUGUGGUUUUAAAAGGCUUAGUCCUGAAAUACCCAUAUCUAUAUCCUCCAAAGACAAGAUCUGAGAGAUAAGGGUUUAGGUGCUCGGUUUUGGUCGGAGGUUUCAUGUCUGUGUUGAUUUCCUGCCAUUCCUAAAUAAAAGACAAAAAAAA
This 5876-nucleotide long non-coding RNA is filed under the name Xyrichtys novacula (pearly razorfish). Lineage: Eukaryota; Metazoa; Chordata; Actinopteri; Labriformes; Labridae. The record is from RNAcentral.